Molecule: ribosomal RNA, 269 nt
Filed under: uncultured bacterium
Lineage: Bacteria
Description: partial 16S ribosomal RNA
Rfam family: Bacterial small subunit ribosomal RNA
Source: RNAcentral
AUGAACGCUAGCUACAGGCUUAACACAUGCAAGUCGCAGGGUAACAUGAGGAAAGCUUGCUUUCCUUGAUGACGACUGGCGCACGGGUGAGUAACGCGUAUCCAACCUUCCCAUAACUACGUGAUAACCCGUUGAAAGACGGCCUAAUACCGUAUGAUAUCGUUUGCUGACAUCAAAUAACGAUUAAAGGUUUAGCGGUUAUGGAUGGGGAUGCGUCUGAUUAGCUUGUUGGCGGGGUAACGGCCCACCAAGGCGACGAUCAGUAGGGG